This 248-nucleotide ribosomal RNA is filed under the name uncultured Eubacterium sp. RNAcentral describes it as "partial 16S ribosomal RNA". It matches the Rfam family "Bacterial small subunit ribosomal RNA", at positions 524 to 771 of the family's 1533-position model. The record is from RNAcentral. Lineage: Bacteria; Bacillati; Bacillota; Clostridia; Eubacteriales; Eubacteriaceae.
UACGUAGGUGGCAAGCGUUGUCCGGAAUUACUGGGUGUAAAGGGAGCGCAGGCGGGGGAACAAGUCAGUUGUGAAAUCCAUGGGCUUAACCCGUGAACUGCAGUUGAAACUGUUCUUCUUGAGUGAAGUAGAGGUUGGCGGAAUUCCGAGUGUAGCGGUGAAAUGCGUAGAUAUUCGGAGGAACACCGGUGGCGAAGGCGGCCAACUGGGCUUUUACUGACGCUGAGGCUCGAAAGUGUGGGGAGCAA